UGCUUAUUUGUGAGCCCUUUAGUAGGACAGAGGGGCUGCUAAUAUGUGACUCCUUGAGACUGAAGGAAGAGGUCUCCAGAAGGGGAAGAGUGAAGCUGAUGGUGUCAAGGAGGUCUGUGGAAGCCACCGGCAAAGCAUCUGUGACAGUAUUCCAGACAUGUUUGCCAGCCUUUGCAGACUCCAAGUGGCUGGC
RNAcentral lists this long non-coding RNA (193 nucleotides) under Fukomys damarensis (Damara mole-rat). RNAcentral describes it as "lncRNA (ENSFDAG00000024874.1)". Lineage: Eukaryota; Metazoa; Chordata; Mammalia; Rodentia; Bathyergidae. The record is from RNAcentral.